Molecule: long non-coding RNA, 310 nt
Organism: Metopolophium dirhodum (rose-grain aphid)
Lineage: Eukaryota; Metazoa; Arthropoda; Insecta; Hemiptera; Aphididae
Exons: 3
Source: RefSeq, a predicted model, not a curated record
GUUUUCUGAAGCCAUUUUUAUUUUUCAACUACGAGGCGUACUCGUCACCUAUGUUCGAAAUUUUUUUCACGCCAAUUGCAUUGAGAAAAUCAGUCAAGGAUCGCCAUUUUCUCGUCACGUCUGUGCGAAAUAUUUGCGCCUUGUCAAUUGUUGUCGAUCACUUUCCAACGCUACGAUAACAAUUGUGUGAAAAGUGUUGAAGUACCGACGGCAGACAUAAAUUUCGUCUUGCAUUCAGCGUUCCACUUCAUAGACUGUUGUGCAAGAGAAUUUGAUGCUUCGAGCCAUUUAUUAACAACACAGAACAAUU